GACGAACGCUGGCGGCGUGCUUAACACAUGCAAGUCGAACGGUGAAGGUGGAGCUUGCUCCGCCGGAUCAGUGGCGAACGGGUGAGUAACACGUGGGCAACCUGCCCCUCACUUCGGGAUAACUCCGGGAAACCGGGGCUAAUACCGAAUACGACCUCCUUGGGCAUCCCGUGAGGUGGAAAGUUUUUCGGUGAGGGAUGGGCCCGCGGCCUAUCAGCUUGUUGGUGGGGUAACGGCUCACCAAGGCGACGACGGGUAGCCGGCCGGAGAGGGCGACCGGCCACACUGGGACUGAGACACGGCCCAGACUCCUACGGGAGGCAGCAGUGGGGAAUAUUGCGCAAUGGGCGAAAGCCUGACGCAGCAACGCCGCGUGCGGGAUGAAGGCCUUCGGGUUGUAAACCGCUUUCAGCAGGGAAGAAGCCGCAAGGUGACGGUACCUGCAGAAGAAGCACCGGCUAACUACGUGCCAGCCGCCGCCGUAA
Molecule: ribosomal RNA, 485 nt
Filed under: uncultured bacterium
Lineage: Bacteria
Description: partial 16S ribosomal RNA
Rfam family: Bacterial small subunit ribosomal RNA
Source: RNAcentral